AGGGAUAAAAUCAAAGAUGGGGGA
Molecule: small nuclear RNA, 24 nt
Filed under: Arabidopsis thaliana (thale cress)
Lineage: Eukaryota; Viridiplantae; Streptophyta; Magnoliopsida; Brassicales; Brassicaceae
Description: snRNA_05072
Source: RNAcentral